Molecule: long non-coding RNA, 1726 nt
Filed under: Brassica napus (rape)
Lineage: Eukaryota; Viridiplantae; Streptophyta; Magnoliopsida; Brassicales; Brassicaceae
Description: long non-coding RNA (BNAP_LNC001781)
Source: RNAcentral
AUAACUUCUUCAUCCCAACUCCUAUGAGAUUUAUUCAACUUCCUGGUGAUUCUCCACCACUUUAUGUAUCCAAAUCAAGCUUCUCACAAAGUGAUUCAUCCUGGUUUGAUUGGAACGACGAUGAAGCUGUGCUAUUCCCAAACUGGGAAACUGGAAUCACCUGAUUUGAAAGUGGGAUAACUUCUUCAUCCCAACUCCUAUGAGAUUUAUUUAACUUCCUGGUGAUUCUCCACCACUUUAUGUAUCCAAAUCAAGCUUCUCACAAAGUGAUUCAUCCUGGUUUGAUUGGAACGACGAAGAAGCUGUCCUAUUCCCAAACUGGGAAACUGGAAUCACCUGAUUUGAAAUUGGGAUAACUUCUUCUUUCCAACUCCUAUGAGAUUUAUUCAACUUCCUGGUGGUUCUCCACCACUUAUUGUAUCCAAAUCAAGCUUCUCACAAAGUGAUUCAUCCUGGUUUGAUUGGAACGACGAUGAAGCUGUGCUAUUCCCAAACUGGGAAACUGGAAUCACCUGAUUUGAAAGUGGGAUAACUUCUUCAUCCCAACUCCUAUGAGAUUUAUUUAACUUCCUGGUGAUUCUCCACCACUUUAUGUAUCCAAAUCAAGCUUCUCACAAAGUGAUUCAUCCUGGUUUGAUUGGAACGACGAUGAAGCUGUGCUAUUCCCAAACUGGGAAACUGGAAUCACCUGAUUUGAAAGUGGGAUAACUUCUUCUUUCCAACUCCUAUGAGAUUUAUUCAACUUCCUUGUGAUUCUCCACCACUUAAUGUAUCCAAAUCAAGCAUCUUACAAAGUGAUUCAUCCUGGUUUGAUUGGAACGACGAAGAAGCUGUCCUAUUCCCAAACUGGGAAACUGGAAUCACCUGAUUUGAAAGUGGGAUAACUUCUUCUUUCCAACUCCUAUGAGAUUUAUUCAACUUCCUUGUGAUUCUCCACCACUUAAUGUAUCCAAAUCAAGCUUCCCACAAAGUGAUUCAUCCUGGUUUGAUUGGAACGACGAAGAAGCUUUCCUAUUCCCAAACUGGAAAACUGGAAUCACCUGAUUUGAAAGUGGAAUAACUUCUUCUUUCCAACUCCUAUGAGAUUUAUUCAACUUCCUGGGGAUUCUCUAUCACUUUUAGAGUAAUGAAUAGUAAUCUGAGUGUUUAGUAUAGAUUUAAGAGAGAUUAGAGAAGAAAUGAGUGUAGAGAGUAAGGUUUAGAGAACAAGACUAAGAGUAAGCCAUGGAGGCAAAGAUAAGCUGAAGUGUCUAAGUUUUAUUAAUGACCAGAUGUUACAAUACAUAGAGAGGCAUCUCGAGGUUAAGGGUUUCAGAAAGCACACUAUUACAUGGGAUAAGAUUCUGCUUUAAUUCAAACUGUCCAAUUAAGCUCUUCCUUGUGUGUAAAGCACCUUUACCUUUACACAGCCACUGACAGCCUGUCAUAAGCUCUUCCCUUAUCCUCUCCACACGGUAACAUCAGUAAAGCCUCAGUAAGACUUCUCCUUUACCUCUUAAGUUAACCGAGUGUAGUAACUUCCCUUAAGUAGUGAUCUUGGUCGAGCUCCUCUUGUACGGCCUGUACGGCCAUGGUACGGCCUGUACGGCCUAGCCUCUCCCAAACUCAUUCCUCCAACCCAUUACUCUCCUAAGCCUCACUCUCUUAUUAGCAAUCCAUCUCAUCAUCUAAUGCCUUCUUCUCAACACUCCCCCUCAAGCUUAGCUUUGUGAAAGUCUAAGCUUGG